Molecule: non-coding RNA, 1821 nt
Organism: Microcebus murinus (gray mouse lemur)
Lineage: Eukaryota; Metazoa; Chordata; Mammalia; Primates; Cheirogaleidae
Source: RefSeq, a predicted model, not a curated record
UUAAAAUUAAAUAUGGGUUUGUAUUUGCAGGUCACAUUAUGAUUUUAUUGGACAGCACUGUUUCAAACAAAACAAAUUAGACAUAGAGCUGAGAAGUGACUUGCCCAAGACAGCUCAGCUUUCAUCACCAGAACACAGAUUUAUUGAGAUGCUCUCUACAGUUCUUAUGUGAUCAUUUGCAGUGUAAAAUGCACAUGUGACUGCUCAAUCUAAGGGACUUACCAAUUUGGGCCUCUUCCAGGAGCUGAAAACCGAUUACAAAUAUGAAACAGAUUUCACUACUGGAAUUGAAUGCCACAUAAAAAAAAAAGGCUCCUCAAAAUAAUUGAAAGAGAUCUUCACCAAAGAGUAGCUGCAAUGUGAAUGGCAGGAUAUCAAGGAAGUAAAAGAAAUGUGAUCAUUGAUACCAACAUUAUAAGGUGCUAUUCCUCAUUGGAAAACACAUUGGAAGAAAACCUAAAAUGGAUGAUGCAAUGGGAAUAAGAGAAAAUGACUUCUACGAUAGUAUUGGGGCUCUGAACACAAUACCCCGAAGGGCAGCGCCUUGGCAUGCUGAGUAUUGUUGAGCUGAAGGAGACAGGAGGGCCUCAGGAGCAAGUAGGUGUCUCUGAUCUUCUGGCCUCCUGUCUCCCGCUCCUUUCUCUCCUCCAAAACAGGCCAUAAAACCUAGAAAGCUCAUCUCUGACCAACCUCCCCUGAAAGUGGACAUAAGACGUUCAUGUACCAGGUGUCCUGCCCUGUACCAGAUGGAAAGGAAUGCUGCACCGAGGGGCCAAGAAGAAUCUGAACAAACAUAUUAUGCUGGGUUUUCCCCUCAGUUUAUUACCAUUAAUUCGAUCCUACCUUUUUUGUCUAACCAUGUUUCUCCACAGCUGUCCUUUUUUUUUUUCAUCAAACUUAGCAUAAAAACACAGUUUCCCCUGGGUUUGGGGGUCAUUAUUUCUGAAGGCUCUCAUGUCACAUAAAACUUUGUUUAAUAAAUUUGUUCUGCUUUUCUGUUGCUAAAUGUCUUUUGUCUUAGGAAUGUUGACCAUGGCCCUUGUGAUGGGUUAGGAGAGGUAUUAUCCCUUCACCCCUAUAGUGGUUAUGGUUCUUUUUUUUUUUUUUUGGUUAUGGUUCUUGAACAAGUUAGUUUGGGGACUGAGUCUGAAUUAGAACUCAGAUUUCCUUAAGUUAUUCUUCUGUGUAUUUUCAUUUACAUCAUCCUGUGCAAAAUAUUUGCUCUCGUGGGGCUUUUACAGGUUGAAAACAGUCACGAUGUAGAUUCAUCUUCAAUGGUAGAUUUUAACAAACUCCAUAAAUGAUCUUUAGUCCUAAGCUAUCAGAUGGAGAGUCCGUGUGCUUGUACGUGCAAUGGUGGCUUCAAAAUUCUCUUAGAAAUCGAAAUUGCAAGGUAUCUGCUGGACUCCUGCUCUGCCCCCAAGUAGAAGCAGCCCUGGUAGUUCUUCCACCUUUCUGUGGCAAAAAUCACAAGGAUUUGCCAUGCUGGUUAAAGUCCAUUGUCUUCUGUGAGAACUUUAAUUCAGUAAUAGCUUCUGUCUGCAGUCUUUAUUAUGCCUCAUGAGAAAAUUCAGGGGCUUGUUCCUGAAUGAGUAACACGAGCAGGCUUGUAGUUCUCCAGAACACCUUAAGUUGGCUCCACAAUCUCAGAUUGCACUCAGUGUACAUAAAACUUCUCUGAGAUUUCCAUAAAUAUUUCUACCAUCUAAAUCUUAUUUGGAUUCUUUUCUUCAUUGCUUCUACACGAAUCCCUCUCUCCUUAGUGAUACCUUCAUGAAGCGACCUAGUUCUCCUCUUGGGUAGCAGUACUGACAAGAAUGU